Hemicordylus capensis (graceful crag lizard) is the source of this 479-nucleotide long non-coding RNA. RefSeq lists it as uncharacterized. The record is from RefSeq and is a predicted model, not a curated record. The transcript has 3 exons. Lineage: Eukaryota; Metazoa; Chordata; Lepidosauria; Squamata; Cordylidae.
CUGAACUCGAGUAGGCCCCAAGCAAGGAAGGCAGGCAGGCAGGCAGGAGGAAGCAGGCAGCAGACUCUCUGCCCAGACCAGACCAUCCAGAACAGCUAUUGCUAGGUCCGAGAGUACUAAAGUAAUCCAACUCAUUUGCAUUCAAGUUCUAUUUUCUGAAGCUGCAAACCAAGAAUGAAAAAUGCACCCCCCAAAUGAUGAAGAAGAGAACAGUUGGAGACUCAGAAGCCCUCAGCUUGCCAGUCCGUGAUAUUAGCUGAGGUGAACUACUCAAACUCCUCCUGUCCAGUUCCAUUACCCGAGAAGGCCCAUGAUAACUAGAUUCUGAGGAGGACCUUGAAGAAGAAACAUGAACGUCCACAUGGACUUUAUUUUCAGUCUUCUUCUUGAACUUUAAGGUGAGGAACUUUUUAAAAGAGGACUUCUUCUUCUUGCAGUACUUAUCAGGAGAUUCAGUGUCUAUUAAAAGUGAAGGUGAA